AAUAACUAAGAACUUCAAUGUAUGUUUCUCCACGGCGGAGCCCAAGAAUACUCAUCAGCUGAAGAAGACUUGGGGGUACUUAAAGAAUAAAGUGAAGAAGGAUCACAGCAGGUACAUCCGGGAAACCCAUCAGACUGGUGGUGGGCCACCACCAGCCCCACCAAAACCAGCUGAUGAGGUAACGCUGAUUGUACAGCUGAUCCUUAAUAAUAGGCUGCCAGUACCUGACGACAUCUUUGAUAGUGAAUUUGUAGAAGCACGCGUACUGGCCCGACUCAAUUCCACAGCACUGGAAUGUGCUGACACACCUGAAGCUGCAGGACAACAGCCAGCACAAGAUCUGGUCUUGGACAACCC
This is a long non-coding RNA of Portunus trituberculatus (swimming crab), 357 nucleotides long. RefSeq lists it as uncharacterized. The record is from RefSeq and is a predicted model, not a curated record. The transcript is spliced from 3 exons. Lineage: Eukaryota; Metazoa; Arthropoda; Malacostraca; Decapoda; Portunidae.